RNAcentral lists this ribosomal RNA (521 nucleotides) under uncultured Glomus. Its description in RNAcentral is "SSU rRNA". It matches the Rfam family "Eukaryotic small subunit ribosomal RNA", at positions 569 to 1092 of the family's 1831-position model. The record is from RNAcentral. Lineage: Eukaryota; Fungi; Glomeromycota; Glomeromycetes; Glomerales; Glomeraceae.
AGCAGCCGCGGUAAUUCCAGCUCCAAUAGCGUAUAUUAAAGUUGUUGCAGUUAAAAAGCUCGUAGUUGAAUUUCGGGAUUAAUAUGUUGGUCGUGCCUUGGUACGUACUGGCAUUAUUGGUUCCUACCUUCUGAAGAACCUCGAUGUCAUUAAUUUGGUGUCUUGGGGAAUCAGGACUGUUACUUUGAAAAAAUUAGAGUGUUUAAAGCAGGCUCGCGCUUGAAUACAUUAGCAUGGAAUAAUGAAAUAGGACGUUUGAUUCUAUUUUGUUGGUUUCUAGGAUCGACGUAAUGAUUAAUAGGGAUAGUUGGGGGCAUUAGUAUUCAAUUGUCAGAGGUGAAAUUCUUGGAUUUAUUGAAGACUAACUACUGCGAAAGCAUUUGCCAAGGAUGUUUUCAUUAAUCAAGAACGAAAGUUAGGGGAUCGAAGACGAUCAGAUACCGUCGUAGUCUUAACCAUAAACUAUGCCGACUAGGGAUCGGAUGAUGUUAAUUUUUUAAUGACUCAUUCGGCGCCUUACG